Molecule: ribosomal RNA, 119 nt
Filed under: Pteropus alecto (black flying fox)
Lineage: Eukaryota; Metazoa; Chordata; Mammalia; Chiroptera; Pteropodidae
Source: RNAcentral
GUCUACAGCCAUGCUACCCUGAACAAGCCCGAUCUCCUCUGAUCUCGGAAGCUAAGCAGGAUUGGGCCUGGUUAGUACUUGGAUGGGAGACCACUUAGGAAGACCAGGCUUUAAAAAAA